RNAcentral lists this transfer RNA (77 nucleotides) under Oryzomonas sp. RNAcentral's name for it is "tRNA-Arg". It matches the Rfam family "tRNA". From Rfam's summary of the family: Transfer RNA (tRNA) molecules are approximately 80 nucleotides in length. Their secondary structure includes four short double-helical elements and three loops (D, anti-codon, and T loops). Lineage: Bacteria; Pseudomonadati; Thermodesulfobacteriota; Desulfuromonadia; Geobacterales; Geobacteraceae. The record is from RNAcentral.
GACCUCGUAGCUCAGUUGGAUAGAGCACAUGCCUUCUAAGCCUGUGGUCGCAGGUUCGAAUCCUGCCGGGGUCGCCA